AGCGAACGCUGGCGGCAUGCCUAACACAUGCAAGUCGAACGUGAUCCGGGGCUUGCUCCGGUGAAAGUGGCGGACGGGUGAGUAACGCGUGGGAACCUGCCCUUUGGUCGGGGAUAACUGCGGGAAACUGCGGCUAAUACCCGAUGUACCCGAGAGGGGAAAGAUUUAUCGCCGAAGGAUGGGCCCGCGUCGGAUUAGGUAGUUGGUGGGGUAACGGCCUACCAAGCCUUCGAUCCGUAGCUGGUCUGAGAGGAUGAUCAGCCACACUGGGACUGAGAUACGGCCCAGACUCCUACGGGAGGCAGCAGUGGGGAAUAUUGGACAAUGGGCGCAAGCCUGAUCCAGCAAUGCCGCGUGAGUGAAGAAGGCCUUAGG
This 375-nucleotide ribosomal RNA is filed under the name uncultured bacterium. Its description in RNAcentral is "bacterial SSU rRNA". It matches the Rfam family "Bacterial small subunit ribosomal RNA", at positions 29 to 421 of the family's 1533-position model. The record is from RNAcentral.